This 603-nucleotide ribosomal RNA is filed under the name Chloropicon mariensis. RNAcentral's name for it is "partial Bacterial large subunit ribosomal RNA". It matches the Rfam family "Bacterial large subunit ribosomal RNA", at positions 1305 to 1921 of the family's 2925-position model. Lineage: Eukaryota; Viridiplantae; Chlorophyta; Chloropicophyceae; Chloropicales; Chloropicaceae. The record is from RNAcentral.
AGUAGCGAAAGACGGGUGAGAAUCCCGUCCACCGAAAGACUAAGGUUUCCAGGGGAAGGCUCGUCCGCCCUGGGUUAGUCGGGACCUAAGCUGAAGCUGAACAGCGAAAGCGAUGGACAACAGGUAGAGAUUCCUGUACUACAUUAAUUUGUUUGAUUGAUGGGGUGACGCAGAAGGAGAAGUGAAGCGCGCGAAUGGAAGAGCGCGUCCAAAUCGUAAGGUGGUGUGAUAGGCAAAUCCGUCACACAGACAUUGAGCGAUGAUGGGGAGUGAAAAUCAGUAGCGAAGUCAUGGAUUCAAGCUGCCAAGAAAAGCCUCUAGAGAGAAGAGAUGUACCCGUACCGUAAACCGACACAGGUAGUCGAGAUGAGAAUUCUAAGGUGAGCGAGCGAACUCUCGUUAAGGAACUCGGCAAAAUGACCCCGUAACUUCGGGAGAAGGGGUACCUAUUUUAUAGGUCGCAGUGACCAGACCCAGGCAACUGUUUAUCAAAAACACAGGUCUCUGCAAAAUCGUAAGAUGACGUAUAGGGGCUGACGCCUGCCCGGUGCUGGAAGGUUAAGGGGAGAGGUUAGCGCAAGCGAAGCUUUGAACUUAAGCCCC